CUCUAUGGCGGGCGGUGCGCGGGGGCCGCAAGGCCCACCGGUUCCUUUUGGCCGGCACGCCAACCGCGUACCGUCCGCCACCCCG
RNAcentral lists this non-coding RNA (85 nucleotides) under Xanthomonas arboricola pv. juglandis. The record is from RNAcentral. Lineage: Bacteria; Pseudomonadati; Pseudomonadota; Gammaproteobacteria; Lysobacterales; Lysobacteraceae. RNAcentral also lists the same sequence under 1 other name.